This 293-nucleotide ribosomal RNA is filed under the name uncultured bacterium. RNAcentral's name for it is "partial 16S ribosomal RNA". It matches the Rfam family "Bacterial small subunit ribosomal RNA", at positions 335 to 645 of the family's 1533-position model. The record is from RNAcentral.
GGCCUACGGGGCGCAGCAGUGGGGAAUAUUGCACAAUGGGGGAAACCCUGAUGCAGCAACGCCGCGUGAGUGAAGAAGUAUUUCGGUAUGUAAAGCUCUAUCAGCAGGGAAGAAGAAAGACGGUACCUGACUAAGAAGCCCCGGCUAACUACGUGCCAGCAGCCGCGGUAAUACGUAGGGGGCAAGCGUUAUCCGGAUUUACUGGGUGUAAAGGGAGCGUAGACGGCAUAGCAAGUCUGAAGUGAAAGCCCGUGGCUCAACCGCGGAACUGCUUUGGAAACUGUUAAGCUGUA